Molecule: ribosomal RNA, 450 nt
Filed under: uncultured Glomeromycotina
Lineage: Eukaryota; Fungi; Glomeromycota
Description: SSU rRNA
Rfam family: Eukaryotic small subunit ribosomal RNA
Source: RNAcentral
AGCAGCCGCGGUAAUUCCAGCUCCAAUAGCGUAUAUUAAAGUUGUUGCAGUUAAAAAGCUCGUAGUUGAAUUUCGGAACCAAUAUGUCGGUCGUGCCUCGGUACGUACUGGUGUCAUUGGUUUCUCCCUUCUGAGGAUCCUUGAUGUCAUUAAUUUGGUGUCUUGGGGAAUCAGGACUGUUACCUUGAAAAAAUUAGAGUGUUUAAAGCAGGCAUACGCUUGAAUACAUUAGCAUGGAAUAAUGAAAUAGGACGUUCGAUUCUAUUUUGUUGGUUUCUAGGAUCGACGUAAUGAUUAAUAGGGAUAGUUGGGGGCAUCAGUAUUCAAUUGUCAGAGGUGAAAUUCUUGGAUUUAUUGAAGACUAACUACUGCGAAAGCAUUUGCCAAGGAUGUUUUCAUUAAUCAAGAACGAAAGUUAGGGAUCGAAGACGAUCAGAUACCGUCGUAGUC